UACGUAGGUGGCAAGCGUUGUCCGGAUUUACUGGGUGUAAAGGGCGUGUAGCCGGGCUGACAAGUCAGAUGUGAAAUUCCGGGGCUCAACCCCGGACCUGCAUUUGAAGCUGUUGGUCUUGAGUAUCGGAGAGGCAGGCGGAAUUCCUAGUGUAGCGGUGAAAUGCGUAGAUAUUAGGAGGAACACCAGUGGCGAAGGCGGCCUGCUGGACGACAACUGACGGUGAGGCGCGAAAGCGUGGGGAGCAAACAGG
Molecule: ribosomal RNA, 253 nt
Filed under: uncultured bacterium
Lineage: Bacteria
Description: partial 16S ribosomal RNA
Rfam family: Bacterial small subunit ribosomal RNA
Source: RNAcentral